This 199-nucleotide unclassified non-coding RNA is filed under the name rhizosphere metagenome. RNAcentral describes it as "partial ribosomal RNA internal transcribed spacer region". The record is from RNAcentral.
GUAGGUGAACCUGCGGAAGGAUCAUUACCGAGCGAGGGUCUCAGGGCCCAACCUCCAACCCUUGACUACCCACCCGUUGCCUUGGCGGCCUCGGCCGCCGGAGGAUCGCCCCGGGCUUGCCCCGGGGUUCAACCCGUCGUCUUGCAGUCUGAGAACUACACAAUAAUCAAAACUUUCAACAACGGAUCUCUUGGUUCUG